This is a long non-coding RNA of Alosa sapidissima (American shad), 100 nucleotides long. RefSeq lists it as uncharacterized. The record is from RefSeq and is a predicted model, not a curated record. The transcript has 3 exons. Lineage: Eukaryota; Metazoa; Chordata; Actinopteri; Clupeiformes; Clupeidae.
AAGUUGGAGCGAUAUGCUGACACAACUUAUUUUUUUUCCCUCUAGGUUCUUGCACCAUCUGAGUACUGACAACUUAUGAAGCUUGUUUGAAGUAACACUG